Molecule: non-coding RNA, 71 nt
Organism: Nesterenkonia sp. AN1
Lineage: Bacteria; Bacillati; Actinomycetota; Actinomycetes; Micrococcales; Micrococcaceae
Source: Rfam
UCCGGUCCUCGGUAGUAGCCUCCGGGAGGCACGAGACGUGCCAGGCCCGUGGGCUUCGAUCGAUGACCGAC